RNAcentral lists this ribosomal RNA (872 nucleotides) under uncultured bacterium. Its description in RNAcentral is "bacterial SSU rRNA". It matches the Rfam family "Bacterial small subunit ribosomal RNA", at positions 63 to 891 of the family's 1533-position model. The record is from RNAcentral.
CGAGCGCACUGGCCCACUGAUCUGACGUGCUUGCACUGAAGUGACGAUGGAUUACCAGUGAGCGGCGGACGGGUGAGUAACACGUGGGCAACCUGCCCUGAAGCGGGGGAUAACAUUUGGAAACAGGUGCUAAUACCGCAUAACAACGAAAACCACAUGGUUUUCGUUUCAAAGAUGGUUUCGGCUAUCACUUCAGGAUGGGCCCGCGGUGCAUUAGCUUGUUGGUAGGGUAACGGCCUACCAAGGCAAUGAUGCAUAGCCGAGUUGAGAGACUGAUCGGCCACAAUGGAACUGAGACACGGUCCAUACUCCUACGGGAGGCAGCAGUAGGGAAUCUUCCACAAUGGGCGCAAGCCUGAUGGAGCGACACCGCGUGAGUGAAGAAGGGUUUCGGCUCGUAAAGCUCUGUUGUUGAAGAAGAACGUGCGUGAGAGUAACUGUUCACGCAGUGACGGUAUUCAACCAGAAAGUCACGGCUAACUACGUGCCAGCAGCCGCGGUAAUACGUAGGUGGCAAGCGUUAUCCGGAUUUAUUGGGCGUAAAGCGAGCGCAGGCGGUUGCUUAAGUCUGAUGUGAAAGCCUUCGGCUUAACCGAAGAAGUGCAUCGGAAACUGAGCGACUUGAGUGCAGAAGAGGACAGUGGAACUCCAUGUGUAGCGGUGGAAUGCGUAGAUAUAUGGAAGAACACCAGUGGCGAAGGCGGCUGUCUGGUCUGCAACUGACGCUGAGGCUCGAAAGCAUGGGUAGCGAACAGGAUUAGAUACCCUGGUAGUCCAUGCCGUAAACGAUGAGUGCUAGGUGUUGGAGGGUUUCCGCCCUUCAGUGCCGCAGCUAACGCAUUAAGCACUCCGCCUGGGGAGUACGACCGCAA